GGAUUAUAGAGAGCAACCAAGGAAGGACCCAAGAUCUUAUUUGACCAUGUCAAGAGACCAUAGUUGAGAGCAGACGCGAUUACUCCCUGCAUAGAGGAAGCAACAGAGUUACUCAAUUGGAGAAAUUUAAUGGAUCAACAAACAUAUGGUGUGUGAAGAACAUACUGCGUAGACAACUGCAAAGAACUCGGAUCUUGUGAGACUCCAGU
This is a long non-coding RNA of Arabidopsis thaliana (thale cress), 209 nucleotides long. RefSeq annotates it as other RNA. The record is from RefSeq. Lineage: Eukaryota; Viridiplantae; Streptophyta; Magnoliopsida; Brassicales; Brassicaceae. The transcript has a single exon.